AGUGAACGCUGGCGGUAGGCCUAACACAUGCAAGUCGAACGGCAGCACAGGAGAGCUUGCUCUCUGGGUGGCGAGUGGCGGACGGGUGAGGAAUACAUCGGAAUCUACUUUUUCGUGGGGGAUAACGUAGGGAAACUUACGCUAAUACCGCAUACGACCUACGGGUGAAAGCAGGGGAUCUUCGGACCUUGCGCGAUUGAGUGAGCCGAUGUAGGAUUAGCUAGUUGGCGGGGUAAAGGCCCACCAAGGCGACGAUCCGUAGCUGGUCUGUGAGGAUGAGCAGCCACACUGGACCUGAGACACGUUCCAGACUCCGACGGGAGUCAGCAGUGGGGAAUAUUGGACAAUGGGCGCAAGCCUGAUCCAGCCAUACCGCGUGGGUUAACAAGGCCUUCGGGUUGUAAAGCCCUUUUGUUGGGAAAGAAAUCCAGCUGGUUAAUACCCGGUUGGGAUGACGGUACCCAAAGAAUAAGCACCGGCUAACUUCGUGCCAGCAGCCGCGGUAA
This 506-nucleotide ribosomal RNA is filed under the name uncultured bacterium. RNAcentral describes it as "partial 16S ribosomal RNA". It matches the Rfam family "Bacterial small subunit ribosomal RNA", at positions 29 to 523 of the family's 1533-position model. The record is from RNAcentral.